AGAUGCCCAUUCGCGCGGUCCAUG
This 24-nucleotide microRNA is filed under the name Echinococcus granulosus. Its description in RNAcentral is "egr-miR-10255-3p". The record is from miRBase by way of RNAcentral. Lineage: Eukaryota; Metazoa; Platyhelminthes; Cestoda; Cyclophyllidea; Taeniidae.